Molecule: transfer-messenger RNA, 356 nt
Filed under: Acutalibacteraceae
Lineage: Bacteria; Bacillati; Bacillota; Clostridia; Eubacteriales
Also listed under: 1 other name
Description: UBA1213 sp902803805 Standard tmRNA
Rfam family: transfer-messenger RNA
About the family: Bacterial tmRNA, also known as 10Sa RNA or SsrA, is named for its dual tRNA and mRNA-like properties. Its role is to liberate the mRNA from a stalled ribosome. To accomplish this part of the tmRNA is used as a reading frame that ends in a translation stop signal.
Source: RNAcentral
GGGGGCGUAAAGGUUUCGACGGGGAGUGUAAGCUUCGGCAAGCGAGCAGCGGCACUGUGGAACCGCUAUAAAAUCCGCAGAUUUAAACAAUAAACGACAACAAUAAAACUGUUGCUAUUGCUGCCUAAUUAGCGGCAAUCGUUUUUAACGGAAGUACCACGAUCCGUUAAGGGCGUUGAUUAGUGGUGAACGUGAAUAAAGCAGUGCUUCGGGCUUUAUCACGGAUCAGAAGCUACCGUAGUACGAAGUCUGUUGCCGGACGUCGUGUGAGGGGAAUCUUAAUACAGCAACUACGCUCGUAGAAAACCGUUGUAAGUACUUUUCGGACAGGAGUUCGACUCUCCUCGCCUCCACCA